This 459-nucleotide ribosomal RNA is filed under the name uncultured bacterium. RNAcentral's name for it is "partial 16S ribosomal RNA". It matches the Rfam family "Bacterial small subunit ribosomal RNA", at positions 338 to 795 of the family's 1533-position model. The record is from RNAcentral.
CCUACGGGAGGCAGCAGUGAGGAAUAUUGGUCAAUGGGCGCGAGCCUGAACCAGCCAAGUCGCGUGAGGGAAGACGGUCCUAUGGAUUGUAAACCUCUUUUGUCGGGGAGCAAAAGACGCCACGCGUGGCGUUUCGAGAGUACCCGAAGAAAAAGCAUCGGCUAACUCCGUGCCAGCAGCCGCGGUAAUACGGGGGAUUCGAGCGUUUUCCGGAUUUAUUGGGUUUAAAGGGUGCGCAGGCGGAAGAUCAAGUCAGCGGUAAAAUUGAGAGGCUCAACCUCUUCGAGCCGUUGAAACUGGUUUUCUUGAGUGAGCGAGAAGUAUGCGGAAUGCGUGGUGUAGCGGUGAAAUGCAUAGAUAUCACGCAGAACUCCGAUUGCGAAGGCAGCAUACCGGCGCUCAACUGACGCUCAUGCACGAAAGUGUGGGUAUCGAACAGGAUUAGAUACCCCUGUAGUC